Molecule: long non-coding RNA, 211 nt
Filed under: Nicotiana benthamiana
Lineage: Eukaryota; Viridiplantae; Streptophyta; Magnoliopsida; Solanales; Solanaceae
Description: long non-coding RNA (NBEN_LNC009128)
Source: RNAcentral
AGAAACAGCGUAAAUAAUUAUCUAAACAUAAGAACCGUAAAUAAAAUAGUAUGCAAUAAUAUCAGACAGUAACUACCAUAAUAACUACCAUAAGGAAGACACAGUCCAAUACACAAAACAUCUUUGAAUAGCCCUACCAAGCCUCACCCAACCCCGGGUGAGGAGUACAAAAAACUCUAGGAGCCCCUAUCUUACAACCCUAAUACUAGAC